This 133-nucleotide ribosomal RNA is filed under the name uncultured bacterium. RNAcentral describes it as "partial 16S ribosomal RNA". The record is from RNAcentral.
CGUAGUUAGCCGAGACUUAUUCCUGAGGUACUGUCCUUUCUCAUCCCCCAGAAAAGGGCUUUACGAUCCGAAGACCUUCAUCGCCCACGCGGCGUUGCUGCGUCAGGGUUUCCCCCAUUGCGCAAUAUCCCUU